UACGAGGUAGCAAUAUUUCGUAGUUGGAGCGGGGCAAGGGUGCGUAACACGUGGGUAAUCUGCCGUGAAGUCUGGAAUAACUUGCUGAAAGGCGAGCUAAUACCGGAUGUGAAAAUUGGGGGGAAUCUUCUGAUUUUCAAAGUUGGGGACCGUAAGGCCUGACGCUUCAUGAUGAGCCCGCGGCCUAUCAGCUAGUUGGUGAGGUAACGGCUCACCAAGGCUAAGACGGGUAGCUGGUCUGAGAGGACGACCAGCCACACUGGAACUGAGACACGGACCAGACACCUACGGGUGGCAGCAGACGAGAAUUUUUCACAAUGGACGAAAGCCUGAUGGAGCGACGCCGCGUGGGGGAUGAAUGGCUUCGGCCCGUAAACCCCUGUCAUUCGCGAACAAUGCCUGCGUGCUAACACCACGCAAGUUGAUAGUAGCAGAAGAGGAAGGGACGGUUAACUCUGUGCCAGCAGCCGCGGUAGAACAGAGGUCCCAAGCGUUGUUCGGAUUCACUGGGCGUAAAGGGUGCGUAGGUGGUCGGGUAAGUCUGAUGUGAAAUCUCGGAGCUCAACUCCGAAACGGCAUUGGAUACUAUUCGGCUUGAGGGUUGGAGGGUGGACUGGAAUUCUCGGUGUAGCA
RNAcentral lists this ribosomal RNA (633 nucleotides) under uncultured Verrucomicrobiota bacterium. RNAcentral describes it as "bacterial SSU rRNA". It matches the Rfam family "Bacterial small subunit ribosomal RNA", at positions 70 to 680 of the family's 1533-position model. The record is from RNAcentral. Lineage: Bacteria; Pseudomonadati; Verrucomicrobiota.